Molecule: ribosomal RNA, 502 nt
Filed under: uncultured bacterium
Lineage: Bacteria
Description: bacterial SSU rRNA
Rfam family: Bacterial small subunit ribosomal RNA
Source: RNAcentral
AGUUUGAUCAUGGCUCAGAUUGAACGCUGGCGGCAGGCCUAACACAUGCAAGUCGAGCGGUAGAGAGAAGCUUGCUUCUCUUGAGAGCGGCGGACGGGUGAGUAAUACCUAGGAAUCUGCCUGAUAGUGGGGGAUAACGUUCGGAAACGGACGCUAAUACCGCAUACGUCCUACGGGAGAAAGCAGGGGACCUUCGGGCCUUGCGCUAUAAGAUGAGCCUAGGUCGGAUUAGCUAGUUGGUGAGGUAAUGGCUCACCAAGGCUACGAUCCGUAACUGGUCUGAGAGGAUGAUCAGUCACACUGGAACUGAGACACGGUCCAGACUCCUACGGGAGGCAGCAGUGGGGAAUAUUGGACAAUGGGCGAAAGCCUGAUCCAGCCAUGCCGCGUGUGUGAAGAAGGUCUUCGGAUUGUAAAGCACUUUAAGUUGGGAGGAAGGGCAUUAACCUAAUACGUUAGUGUCUUGACGUUACCGACAGAAUAAGCACCGGCUAACUCUGUG